This 55-nucleotide small RNA is filed under the name Xanthomonas euvesicatoria pv. citrumelonis. Its description in RNAcentral is "sX9". Lineage: Bacteria; Pseudomonadati; Pseudomonadota; Gammaproteobacteria; Lysobacterales; Lysobacteraceae. The record is from RNAcentral.
AUGACUGCACAGCCGCCAGGCCCACCUGACGACUGUUCGCUACGUUUUGUUGGCC